ACCAGACUCCUACGGGAGGCAGCAGUGGGGGAUAUUGCACAAUGGGGGAAACCCUGAUGCAGCGACGCCGCGUGGGUGAAGGAGCACCUCGGUGCGUAAAGCCCUAUCGGCAGGGAAGAAAAGCGAACAGGUUCGCCUGGACGGUACCUGACUAAGAAGCCCCGGCUAACUACGUGCCAGCAGCCGCGGGAAUACGUAGGGGGCAAGCGUUAUCCGGAUUUACUGGGUGUAAGGGGAGCGUAGACGGCUGCGCAAGUCAGAAGUGAAAGCCCGGGGCUCAACCGCGGGACUGCUUUUGAAACUGUGUAGCUAGAGUGCAGGAGAGGUAAGUGGAAUUCCUAGUGUAGCGGUGAAAUGCGUAGAUAUUAGGAGGAACACCAGUGGCGAAGGCGGCUUACUGGACUGUAACUGACGUUGAGGCUCGAAAGCGUGGGGAGCAAACAGGAUUAGAUACCCUCGUAA
RNAcentral lists this ribosomal RNA (462 nucleotides) under uncultured bacterium. Its description in RNAcentral is "partial 16S ribosomal RNA". It matches the Rfam family "Bacterial small subunit ribosomal RNA", at positions 330 to 793 of the family's 1533-position model. The record is from RNAcentral.